Molecule: ribosomal RNA, 434 nt
Filed under: uncultured bacterium
Lineage: Bacteria
Description: partial 16S ribosomal RNA
Rfam family: Bacterial small subunit ribosomal RNA
Source: RNAcentral
AGCGAACGCUGGCGGCAGGCCUAACACAUGCAAGUCGAACGAACCUUUCGGGGUCAGUGGCGGACGGGUGAGUAACACGUGGGAACGUGCCUUUAGGUUUGGAAUAACUCAGGGAAACUUGUGCUAAUACCGAACGUGCCCUUCGGGGGAAAGAUUAAUCGCCUUUAGAGCGGCCCGCGUCUGAUUAGCUAGUUGGUUGAGGUAAUGGCUCACCAAGGCGACGAUCAGUAGCUGGUCUGAGAGGAUGGUCAGCCACAUUGGGACUGCGACACGGCCCAAACUCCUACGGGAGGCAGCAGUGGGGAAUCUUGCACAAUGGGCGAAAGCCUGACGCAGCCAUGCCGCGUGAAUGAUGAAGGUCUUAGGAUUGUAAAAUUCUUUCACCGGGGACGAUAAUGACGGUACCCGGAGAGGAAGCCCCGGCUAACUUCGUG